GUACACUCCUGCGGGAGGCAGCAGUGGGGAAUUUUGGACAAUGGGCGAAAGCCUGAUCCAGCAAUGCCGCGUGAGUGAAGAAGGCCUUCGGGUUGUAAAGCUCUUUUGUCAGGGAAGAAACGGUGAGAGCUAAUAUCUUUUGCUAAUGACGGUACCUGAAGAAUAAGCACCGGCUAACUACGUGCCAGCAGCCGCGGUAAUACGUAGGGUGCAAGCGUUAAUCGGAAUUACUGGGCGUAAAGCGUGCGCAGGCGGUUUUGUAAGUCUGAUGUGAAAUCCCCGGGCUCAACCUGGGAAUUGCAUUGGAGACUGCAAGGCUAGAAUCUGGCAGAGGGGGGUAGAAUUCCACGUGUAGCAGUGAAAUGCGUAGAUAUGUGGAGGAACACCGAUGGCGAAGGCAGCCCCCUGGGUCAAGAUUGACGCUCAUGCACGAAAGCGUGGGGAGCAAACAGGAUUAGAAACCCUAGUAGUCCCAUGA
Molecule: ribosomal RNA, 478 nt
Filed under: uncultured organism
Description: partial 16S ribosomal RNA
Rfam family: Bacterial small subunit ribosomal RNA
Source: RNAcentral